UGAUGAUGUAGGAACCACAACC
Molecule: small nuclear RNA, 22 nt
Filed under: Arabidopsis thaliana (thale cress)
Lineage: Eukaryota; Viridiplantae; Streptophyta; Magnoliopsida; Brassicales; Brassicaceae
Description: snRNA_16604
Source: RNAcentral